GGCAACUGCACCACUCUUCCUCUGCACAGGUUUUGAUAAAUCUCCCCCAUUGUGGCUAUUAUGGGACGUAUGUGGUGUAAAAAGGAGGAGCCUGUCAGCGAACUCUGCAGAUGUUCUAUGGCUAGAAAAAGCCUCUAUGGCAAAUCCGGCCAGAUGGAAAAGAUAGGGUAAGAACAUCAUGGCUGGCUGACAAGAAUGAAAAGUAACAAUAAUUACUUAUACCUGCAGCCUGGAUAAAUAUUAAAGACAUUCUAUGGGGAAUCAGCCCAUCCGAGGAAAUGUUUGAGGCUGCUGGUCCUUGGACACUGAGCACUACAGGGAGCAGCUUCCUCAUUAUUUGCUGUGGAGCGCACUUAUUGCUUUUCAUUACGGUGUUGAGGCCAGUUGGAAAAGAAAAGAGAAUGACUCUGAUUAGAGAAGAUAUCACCUAGGAGUCACUGGAUGUAACUGCACUGAAUCUUAACCUCUUCAGGACGCAGGUCAUACAGGUAUAAUGAUGUGCAGCAGAAAAAGACAGAGAAGUUUUGGUCUAAAGCACAGGCUGGAGAUAGACGCUGCCCUGCGCCACAUGAUCCUCGCUGCGGACUGCUGCAUGCAAUUCCAGUUCUAUGACUUUUUCCUGACCUUUCUAAAAGAAAGAAAAUUCCAUUAUCUCUUCAGUGUGGCUGUGAUGGCCGAGGGUCAUGAAAACCAAAGCUUUCACAAUUCCUGCUUUGGAUCUGGAUUAAAUAACCUAUUUGGUAUGGCGCUCUACAUUUCACCAGGAUGCAGAUGUGCAGGAUACCAUCAGAGGCCUAAGACUGUACUUUACAAGUCUGGUGACAUUUGUCAGCAAGACAUAGAAGAAUAAGAAAAGUAUGAAGACUUAUUGCUUCUCUACUUUGGAUACAAUCCUGGUUAUGGAUAAACUAAACUUGUGCUGUAAUAUGGCAAAUCUGCAAGAGGAAGGACUAAGGAAAAGACAAGGAAGAAAAAAAUCCAGCGUAUCUUGUGGUGGAACCUCUUUUCUUUACAGAAGGUGAAAUCUGCAACAAAAUCUGUAGCUAUCCCUCAUCUGCUACAUGUGAAUGGGGUUUUAAUAAAUGCAAAUGUAUUGAACUGCAAUACCUUAUGGAUUUUCUGUGUGGUGAAUGUGGCUUUAGCAUAGCAACUAUAGAAUGACCAUACAUUCCAAAAUAUUGGUGUUUUC
Long non-coding RNA from Hyla sarda, 1189 nucleotides. RefSeq lists it as uncharacterized. NCBI's taxonomy places the organism in Eukaryota, Metazoa, Chordata, Amphibia, Anura, Hylidae. The transcript has 5 exons. The record is from RefSeq and is a predicted model, not a curated record.